UUCCGGUUGAUCCUGCCGGACCUGACUGCUAUCGGAUUGGUACUAAGCCAUGUGAGUCAUUGUAGCAAUACAAGGCAUACGGCUCAGUAACACGUAGUCAAUCUGCCCUAUGGACGUGGAUAACCUCGGGAAACUGAGAAUAAUCCGCGAUAGAUCAUAAUGCCUGGAACGGUUUAUGGUCCAAAUGAUUCGUCGCCAUAGGAUGGGACUGCGGCCUAUCAGCUUGUUGGUGAGGUAAUGGCCCACCAAGGCUAUUACAGGUACGGGCUCUGAGAGGAGAAGCCCGGAGAUGGGUACUGAGACACGGACCCAGGCCCUAUGGGGCGCAGCAGGCGAGAAACCUUUGCAAUGUGCGCAAGCACGACAAGGUUAAUCCGAGUGUUUCCUGCUAAAGGAAUCUUUUGUUAGUUCUAAAACCACUGAUGAAUAAGGGGUGGGCAAGUUCUGGUGUCAGCCGCCGCGGUAAAACCAGCACCUCAAGUGGUCAGGAGGAUUAUUGGGCCUAAAGCAUCCGUAGCCGGUUCUGUAAGUUUCCGGUUAAAUCCACUAGCUCAACUAAUGGGCUGCCGGAAAUACUGCAGAACUAGGGAGUGGGAGAGGUAGACGGUACUCGGGAGGAAGGGGUAAAAUCCUUUGAUCUCUUGAUGACCACCUGUGGCGAAGGCGGUCUACCAGAACACGUUCGACGGUGAGGGAUGAAAGCUGGGGGAGCAAACCGGAUUAGAUACCCGGGUAGUCCCAGCUGUAAACGAUGCAGACUCGGUGAUGCACUGGCUUUUGGCCAGUGCAGUGCCGCAGGGAAGCCGUUAAGUUUGCCGCCUGGGAAGUACGUACGCAAGUAUGAAACUUAAAGGAAU
This 857-nucleotide ribosomal RNA is filed under the name uncultured archaeon. RNAcentral's name for it is "bacterial SSU rRNA". It matches the Rfam family "Archaeal small subunit ribosomal RNA", at positions 1 to 865 of the family's 1478-position model. The record is from RNAcentral.